CUCUGGCUGAGCCACCUGGGAGCCAUUGGUUUCCCCGGAGACUAAAGACUGGCUUUUGGGAAUGGCUAAUUUGCCUUGCAUCGCUUCCUCAGGUGUUCUGCAUACCUCCGGGGCUUCUUAAUGGCCAGCCUGGGGCUCAGCCCUCCUGCUUGCCUGUUCAGCGUUGUUCCUGCUCCAGAGACUGCAUGCCAGGACAGCUUCUCUGCUGCCAGACCUUUGCCUGGUCCUUGCCCACGCUUUAUCUGCUCUUUCAUACCUCCUGGGAACAAGAGAACUGAGAAACACAAGUACUUUAAAUGCAGCAACUGUGGUGACACCAGGAAGUAAGAAUUUCAGGAAGCUGCAGAAGUGCCCUUAUCAAACAAAUUGAGAAGUCGCUGAGAGCGUUCUGCUGGAACCUCUUUGAGCGCUCUGCUGUUUGCUGAGUGAAAGGACAAAGGACUGACAAUAAGGCAGAACAUGCCACUGCGCCGCUCUCUACACCUGCCUGUCGGAGCUGCCUUGUGUGUCGCAGGUGCUGUGUUUGUGCCAUCCCCGGGCGAGCAGACGAGAGGAGCGGCCC
Molecule: long non-coding RNA, 562 nt
Filed under: Zonotrichia albicollis (white-throated sparrow)
Lineage: Eukaryota; Metazoa; Chordata; Aves; Passeriformes; Passerellidae
Description: lncRNA (ENSZALG00000015342.1)
Source: RNAcentral